RNAcentral lists this ribosomal RNA (431 nucleotides) under uncultured bacterium. RNAcentral's name for it is "partial 16S ribosomal RNA". It matches the Rfam family "Bacterial small subunit ribosomal RNA", at positions 338 to 795 of the family's 1533-position model. The record is from RNAcentral.
CCUACGGGAGGCAGCAGUAGGGAAUUUUGCGCAAUGGGGGAAACCCUGACGCAGCAACGCCAUGUGUGGGAUGAAGCAUUUCGGUGUGUAAACCACUGUCGGCAGGGAAUAUGUACCUGCAGAGGAAGCCCCGGCUAACUUCGUGCCAGCAGCCGCGGUAAUACGAGGGGGGCAAGUGUUGUUCGGAAUCACUGGGCGUAAAGGGAGCGUAGGCGGAUGCUUAAGUUGGAUGUUUAAAACCGGGGCCCAACCCCGGGGCGGCAUCCAAAACUGGGCGUCUUGAAUGGAACAGAGGCUAGUGGAAUUGGGGGUGUAGCGGUGGAAUGCGUAGAGAUCCCCAAGAACACCAAUUGCGAAGGCAGCUAGCUGGUCACAUUGACGCUGAGGCUCGAAAGCAUGGGGAGCAAACAGGAUUAGAUACCCUUGUAGUC